RNAcentral lists this ribosomal RNA (432 nucleotides) under uncultured bacterium. RNAcentral's name for it is "partial 16S ribosomal RNA". It matches the Rfam family "Bacterial small subunit ribosomal RNA", at positions 29 to 507 of the family's 1533-position model. The record is from RNAcentral.
ACGAACGCUGGCGGCAUGCCUAACACAUGCAAGUCGAACGAGACCUUCGGGUCUAGUGGCGCACGGGUGCGUAACGCGUGGGAACCUGCCUUUAGGUUCGGAAUAACUCAGAGAAAUUCGAGCUAAUACCGGAUGAUGUCUUCGGACCAAAGAUUUAUCGCCUUUAGAUGGGCCCGCGUUGGAUUAGCUAGUUGGUGGGGUAAAGGCCUACCAAGGCGACGAUCCAUAGCUGGUCUGAGAGGAUGAUCAGCCACACUGGGACUGAGACACGGCCCAGACUCCUACGGGAAGCAGCAGUGGGGAAUAUUGGACAAUGGGCGAAAGCCUGAUCCAGCAAUGCCGCGUGAGUGAUGAAGGCCUUAGGGUUGUAAAGCUCUUUUACCCGAGAUGAUAAUGACAGUAUCGGGAGAAUAAGCUCCGGCUAACUCCGUG